AACGCAUAUUGCGCCCGCGUCUUCGGACAAGGGCAUGUCUGCCUCAGCGUCGGGUUAAUAAUCGCAAACAAAUCCCUGUGGUUCACCCCUGUGGUUUUGUCUAUUGCGGAUCUGGCCGUCCCGAUUGAGUUUUCACUCGGGUCUGCUGAAGAGCAGAGGUUGACGCAUGGACCCGAUUAAGGGCCGCAACUGGGUAGGCAAUUCGUUGCUGAUGCUUUAGUUGUUGGCUUGUGGACUGUGCAAUGUCAGCUCAAACCAGGAACCGAGCCUUUGUGCUUGGCAAUAACCCUAUUUUCUCGACCUGAGCUCAGGCAAGAACACCCGCUGAACUUAA
This 334-nucleotide unclassified non-coding RNA is filed under the name uncultured Chlamydomonadales. RNAcentral describes it as "sequence contains 5.8S rRNA gene, ITS2, 28S rRNA gene". The record is from RNAcentral. Lineage: Eukaryota; Viridiplantae; Chlorophyta; Chlorophyceae; Chlamydomonadales.